This 1354-nucleotide unclassified non-coding RNA is filed under the name Daphnia magna. RNAcentral's name for it is "bestrophin-2, transcript variant X1". Lineage: Eukaryota; Metazoa; Arthropoda; Branchiopoda; Diplostraca; Daphniidae. The record is from RNAcentral.
GUUGCACCGUAUGACGUGUUCACGGAACUCGAUAUUUUAUUUCAAUUGAGGGAGUUAGACGAAUUCGUCAACUUGUCGUGCCAGUUUAAUGCUCAAGUCCUUGUUACAGUAAAGUAUGAAGGCAUUUGGCUUUCGGAGUAAAAAUUGUGGCAUUUUCGAUGGUUUUAAAUCCGUAUUUCCACUGUUCAAAUGGCGAAGUUCUCUCUACAAAUUGUGCUAUAAAGAACUUAUUUUUCUACUCAUUCCAUACCUGAUCCUGACCGUCGUAUACCGAUAUGCUCUCAACGAAGAUGGGAAGAGACUGUUUGAAGAGCUGGUCCGUUAUUUUGAUCGAUAUUUGGAAAUGAUUUCUCUUCCAUUUAUCUUGGGAUUCUAUGUUGCCACUGUUGCGGCUAGGUGGUGGCAGCAAUAUAUGGCGUUGCCUUGGCCUGAUCGAUUGAUUUUGACCGUUGCUGCCUAUAUUCAGGGUACUGAUUCGGAAUCCCGAAAGUUAAAGAAAACUUUAGUUCGCCAUUGCAAUCUAAUGGGUGUGUUGCUGAUACGUUCACUGGCGACUAGCGUCAGUAACCGUAAGAAAACCCUGGAGGACGCAGUCAAAUCAGGUUUUAUGACGAAAACGGAAAUGAGGUGUUACGAAUCGAUUGAAUCGGAUGUGAAUUUGUAUUGGUUACCUGGCCUGUGGUUCGCUCAGAAUUUGCAAGAAGCAUUUAUGAAAGGCCAUAUCAAGGAUACGUACGCCGUUAAACUGAUUAUGGAGGAAUUGUUAGAUUUUCGCGGAAAAUGUGGUACUUUAUGGACUUAUUCUUGGAUCAGUAUUCCACUUAUUUACACGCAGGUUGUGACUUUGGCUGUGUAUUCUUUUUUCUUUGCUUGCAUUAUGGGUCAUCAGCGUAUUGUCGACCAGACGUCUCCCGAGGAUGGUCUCACGGCAGACCUCUACUAUGGGCUUUCUCUAGUACUAAAGUUUUUUUUUUAUAUGGGAUUACUUAAGCUGGCUGAACAAAUGAUAUGUCCCUAUGGCAAUGGUGAUGAACAUUUCGAUGUAGACUUCCUGUUAAACCGUCACGCCGAGGUACCGAUACGUUAUCGGAACAAUGUCCUUUAGCCUCCCAAGAGCUCCUUAGUCAGGGAGAAAACAGUCUCGAGGAAAAAGAUCCGGAUAAUGAUGAGGAGCAGAAAAUGAAAUCCACCGACUAUCCAUACGAUUCAGCUGCGUUGAGGAAGUUCAGCGCCUUAAACAACCUACGUCGUCCUACGAGAGUGUCACUCCAGAACGGUAACGCUGCGGUUCCAUCUUUCGCCAACAGUGACGCAACUUUACAGAGUGUUCAACAUGAACCAGAUAACCCAUCAC